This 77-nucleotide transfer RNA is filed under the name Deltaproteobacteria bacterium. RNAcentral's name for it is "tRNA-Arg". It matches the Rfam family "tRNA". Rfam says of the family: Transfer RNA (tRNA) molecules are approximately 80 nucleotides in length. Their secondary structure includes four short double-helical elements and three loops (D, anti-codon, and T loops). The record is from RNAcentral. Lineage: Bacteria; Pseudomonadati; Myxococcota; Myxococcia.
GGGCGAUUAGCUCAGCUGGAUAGAGCGACAGCCUCCGGAGCUGUAGGCCGCGCGUUCGAAUCGCGCAUCGCCCACCA